This 263-nucleotide ribosomal RNA is filed under the name uncultured Synergistaceae bacterium. RNAcentral describes it as "partial 16S ribosomal RNA". It matches the Rfam family "Bacterial small subunit ribosomal RNA", at positions 1123 to 1382 of the family's 1533-position model. The record is from RNAcentral. Lineage: Bacteria; Thermotogati; Synergistota; Synergistia; Synergistales; Synergistaceae.
AGGAGAGCUGAGCACUCUGGCGAGACUGCCCGCCGACAAGGCGGAGGAAAGGUGGGGAGUGACGUCAAGUCAUCAUGGCCUUUAUGCCCAGGGCUACACACGUGCUACAAUGGCCGGCACAGACGGCAGCUUAGUGGCGACACUUGGCAAAUCCUCUAAAGCCGGUCCCAGUUCGGAUUGCAGUCUGCAACUCGACUGCAUGAAGCCGGAAUCGCUAGUAAUCGCAGAUCAGCCAAGCUGCGGUGAAUACGUUCCCGGGCCUU